GUGUCUUGAAGACGUAUGAUAUCAUGGGAAAGAAGCUGGAUUCACAACUCAAACUCAAAGAAUCAGAACUUAUGUUUCUUCGAGAGAAACUAGUCGAAGCUAAUAAAGAAAACAAGCUGCUUGAGAAAAGAUUGAAUGCCAGCGGGCCUGUGUCUCCUUUGGACAAUCUUCACUUUUCUAGCUUGAACCCCAGCCAUUUUA
Molecule: unclassified non-coding RNA, 201 nt
Filed under: Hevea brasiliensis (rubber tree)
Lineage: Eukaryota; Viridiplantae; Streptophyta; Magnoliopsida; Malpighiales; Euphorbiaceae
Source: RNAcentral